CGGCGGACGGGUGAGUAAUGCCUAGGAAUCUGCCUGGUAGUGGGGGAUAACGUCCGGAAACGGGCGCUAAUACCGCAUACGUCCUGAGGGAGAAAGUGGGGGAUCUUCGGACCUCACGCUAUCAGAUGAGCCUAGGUCGGAUUAGCUAGUUGGUGGGGUAAAGGCCUACCAAGGCGACGAUCCGUAACUGGUCUGAGAGGAUGAUCAGUCACACUGGAACUGAGACACGGUCCAGACUCCUACGGGAGGCAGCAGUGGGGAAUAUUGGACAAUGGGCGAAAGCCUGAUCCAGCCAUGCCGCGUGUGUGAAGAAGGUCUUCGGAUUGUAAAGCACUUUAAGUUGGGAGGAAGGGCAGUAAGUUAAUACCUUGCUGUUUUGACGUUACCAACAGAAUAAGCACCGGCUAACUUCGUGCCAGCAGCCGCGGUAAUACGAAGGGUGCAAGCGUUAAUCGGAAUUACUGGGCGUAAAGCGCGCGUAGGUGGUUCAGCAAGUUGGAUGUGAAAUCCCCGGGCUCAACCUGGGAACUGCAUCCAAAACUACUGAGCU
This 550-nucleotide ribosomal RNA is filed under the name Pseudomonas aeruginosa. RNAcentral describes it as "bacterial SSU rRNA". It matches the Rfam family "Bacterial small subunit ribosomal RNA", at positions 96 to 642 of the family's 1533-position model. Lineage: Bacteria; Pseudomonadati; Pseudomonadota; Gammaproteobacteria; Pseudomonadales; Pseudomonadaceae. The record is from RNAcentral.